GGGGCCUUAGCUCAGUUGGUAGAGCGCUGCCUUUGCAAGGCAGAUGUCAGGAGUUCGAAUCUCCUAGGCUCCACAG
Molecule: transfer RNA, 76 nt
Filed under: Rhodococcus erythropolis SK121
Lineage: Bacteria; Bacillati; Actinomycetota; Actinomycetes; Mycobacteriales; Nocardiaceae
Description: tRNA-Ala
Rfam family: tRNA
About the family: Transfer RNA (tRNA) molecules are approximately 80 nucleotides in length. Their secondary structure includes four short double-helical elements and three loops (D, anti-codon, and T loops). Further hydrogen bonds mediate the characteristic L-shaped molecular structure. tRNAs have two regions of fundamental functional importance: the anti-codon, which is responsible for specific mRNA codon recognition, and the 3' end, to which the tRNAs corresponding amino acid is attached (by aminoacyl-tRNA synthetases). tRNAs cope with the degeneracy of the genetic code in two manners: having more than one tRNA (with a specific anti-codon) for a particular amino acid; and 'wobble' base-pairing, i.e. permitting non-standard base-pairing at the 3rd anti-codon position.
Source: RNAcentral